UUGGGUGUGACUCAGUGGUAGAGCUCUGGCUUAGUAUGCAUGAAGCCCUGGGUUCAAUCCUCAGCACCAAAA
RNAcentral lists this transfer RNA (72 nucleotides) under Heterocephalus glaber (naked mole-rat). It matches the Rfam family "tRNA". Rfam says of the family: Transfer RNA (tRNA) molecules are approximately 80 nucleotides in length. Their secondary structure includes four short double-helical elements and three loops (D, anti-codon, and T loops). The record is from Rfam by way of RNAcentral. Lineage: Eukaryota; Metazoa; Chordata; Mammalia; Rodentia; Bathyergidae.